This 760-nucleotide long non-coding RNA is filed under the name Struthio camelus australis. RNAcentral describes it as "lncRNA (ENSSCUG00000014625.1)". Lineage: Eukaryota; Metazoa; Chordata; Aves; Struthioniformes; Struthionidae. The record is from RNAcentral.
CAGGCCUGAAGCGAAGGCCCUGAAGGACAGCGACGAGCAGCCGACAGCCCCGGGCGGCCUGUUGCCCCCAGAGUAACUUCCCCUUGUUCUUAAGCAAACAGGCAGGGUGGGAAACCCACAGAGGUUGUAAUUUUUUUUUUUUUUCCUUAACUGGCCUUCAAAGGGGAUCUUGCUGUUCGGUUUUGUGGGUGCAGCCUAACAGAGCUGCUCUUCCGUAUAUAACCUCUGUACUCGCCCUGGCUGGAGCAUCGUGCAGCCGGCGCAAGGCAGAAUAAAUUCCAGAUGCCGGUUCACUAACUAAAGAAUGUUCCUCAGGAGAUGCUGUGCUAAAGACUUCACUCAUUUGGGAAGACAAGUCCUGGAGAAACAGAUCACCAGAAGAACAUGAUAGGUUACACAGCUGUUUCAGAAAUGCUUCAUGCCAUGUCUCAACCAUAAACACCCAACAGUGUUUCGAUCAUAGCUGCGGUUGCGAGACAUCACUACAUUGCAGACUCAAGGGUCAUCGUGCAUUACUUCGUUCAUCUGAAUUUCUUUCCAGUGGAAAUUUACCUCUGAAUUUUCUGGAUUUAUAGUGUUGCUCUGAAAUCAUUUCAACAAGCUUGUGAUUUUUCAUCCUCAAACUAAAAUGCCUGCUCUCAACAUGACUGUAGAAUUUCAAGAGCUUUCUUUUAAUAUUUGCCCUCUUCCCACUAAAUUCUGUGCCACUAAAAGUCUAACUAUAAACAAAUAAAUCCAGGGCUGGGAACUGUAAUCCCCA